Molecule: ribosomal RNA, 500 nt
Filed under: Botrytis caroliniana
Lineage: Eukaryota; Fungi; Ascomycota; Leotiomycetes; Helotiales; Sclerotiniaceae
Description: eukaryotic LSU rRNA
Rfam family: 5.8S ribosomal RNA (bases 159-312)
Source: RNAcentral
AAGGAUCAUUACAGAGUUCAUGCCCGAAAGGGUAGACCUCCCACCCUUGUGUAUUAUUACUUUGUUGCUUUGGCGAGCUGCCUUCGGGCCUUGUAUGCUCGCCAGAGAAAACCAAAACUCUUUUUAUUAAUGUCGUCUGAGUACUAUAUAAUAGUUAAAACUUUCAACAACGGAUCUCUUGGUUCUGGCAUCGAUGAAGAACGCAGCGAAAUGCGAUAAGUAAUGUGAAUUGCAGAAUUCAGUGAAUCAUCGAAUCUUUGAACGCACAUUGCGCCCCUUGGUAUUCCGGGGGGCAUGCCUGUUCGAGCGUCAUUUCAACCCUCAAGCUUAGCUUGGUAUUGAGUCUAUGUCAGUAAUGGCAGGCUCUAAAAUCAGUGGCGGCGCCGCUGGGUCCUGAACGUAGUAAUAUCUCUCGUUACAGGUUCUCGGUGUGCUUCUGCCAAAACCCAAAUUUUUCUAUGGUUGACCUCGGAUCAGGUAGGGAUACCCGCUGAACUUAA